AUUGAACGCUGGCGGCGUGCCUAACACAUGCAAGUCGAGCGGUAACAGGUGUAGCAAUACAUGCUGACGAGCGGCGAACGGGUGAGUAAUGCUUCGGAAUCUACCCAAUGGUGGGGAAUAACCAGCCGAAAGGUUGGCUAAUACCGCAUACGUCCCACGGGAGAAAGCAGGGGAUCGCAAGACCUUGCGCCAAUGGAUGAGCCGAAGUCGGAUUAGCUAGUUGGAGGGUAACGGCCUACCAAGGCGACGAUCCGUAGCUGGUCUGAGAGGACGACCAGCCACACUGGGACUGAGACACGGCCCAGACUCCUACGGGAGGCAGCAGUGGGGAAUAUUGGACAAUGGGGGAAACCC
Molecule: ribosomal RNA, 354 nt
Filed under: uncultured bacterium
Lineage: Bacteria
Description: bacterial SSU rRNA
Rfam family: Bacterial small subunit ribosomal RNA
Source: RNAcentral